RNAcentral lists this ribosomal RNA (292 nucleotides) under uncultured bacterium. RNAcentral's name for it is "partial 16S ribosomal RNA". It matches the Rfam family "Bacterial small subunit ribosomal RNA", at positions 505 to 796 of the family's 1533-position model. The record is from RNAcentral.
GUGCCAGCCGCCGCGGUAAUACAGAGGGUGCAAGCGUUAAUCGGAAUUACUGGGCGUAAAGCGCGCGUAGGUGGUUUAGUAAGUCGGAUGUGAAAUCCCCGGGCUCAACCUGGGAAUUGCAUUCGAAACUGCUAGGCUAGAGUAUGGUAGAGGAAAGCGGAAUUCCAGGUGUAGCGGUGAAAUGCGUAGAUAUCUGGAGGAACAUCAGUGGCGAAGGCGGCUUUCUGGACUAAUACUGACACUGAGGUGCGAAAGCGUGGGGAGCAAACAGGAUUAGAAACCCUGGUAGUCC